GCAGGCUGCAACUCGCCUGCAUGAAGCUGGAAUUGCUAGUAAUCGCGGAUCAGCAAGCCGCGGUGAAUACGUUCCCGGGCCUUGUACACACCGCCCGUCACACCAUGAGAGUCGGGAACACCCGAAGUCCGUAGUCUAACCGCAAGGGGGGCGCGGCCGAAGGUGGGUCCGGUAAUUGGGUGAAGUCGUAACAAGGUAUC
RNAcentral lists this ribosomal RNA (200 nucleotides) under uncultured bacterium. RNAcentral's name for it is "partial 16S ribosomal RNA". It matches the Rfam family "Bacterial small subunit ribosomal RNA", at positions 1300 to 1500 of the family's 1533-position model. The record is from RNAcentral.